Long non-coding RNA from Paramacrobiotus metropolitanus, 304 nucleotides. RefSeq lists it as uncharacterized. Lineage: Eukaryota; Metazoa; Tardigrada; Eutardigrada; Parachela; Macrobiotidae. The record is from RefSeq and is a predicted model, not a curated record. The transcript is spliced from 3 exons.
CCGGGACAAAGAAUUUGGACUGCGAACACACCACGGGGAUUUCGGACACUCGUGCACGUUGUCGUCAUUUCUGUGAUCGGCCGGCGGAUGCACUAAGGCUUUACCCCCACAAAUUUGACUGGAGCAUACGGAUGUACAACUGAUAUAAGAAGUACUGGGCUUUACAUCACAAGUGGGCGACGGUUUAACAUCAGGCGGAAUCACCGGAUCAAAAUGAUGCGCCCUAAUGAUAUCGGUCAUUGAGUGCAUCUUUCGCGGAAACCAUACCGGUGAAUUCGGACGCUGACGGAAUAACCUCCACGUC